Molecule: ribosomal RNA, 484 nt
Filed under: uncultured bacterium
Lineage: Bacteria
Description: partial 16S ribosomal RNA
Rfam family: Bacterial small subunit ribosomal RNA
Source: RNAcentral
AUUGAACGCUGGCGGCAGGCCUAACACAUGCAAGUCGAGCGGAUGAAGGGAGCUUGCUCCUGGAUUCAGCGGCGGACGGGUGAGUAAUGCCUAGGAAUCUGCCUUGUCGUGGGGGAUAACGUCCGGAAACGGGCGCUAAUACCGCAUACGUCCUGAGGGUGAACGUGGGGGAUCUUCGGACCUCACGCUAUCAGAUGAGCCUAGGUCGGAUUAGCUAGUUGGUGGGGUAAAGGCCUACCAAGGCGACGAUCCGUAACUGGUCUGAGAGGAUGAUCAGUCACACUGGAACUGAGACACGGUCCAGACUCCUACGGGAGGCAGCAGUGGGGAAUAUUGGACAAUGGGCGAAAGCCUGAUCCAGCCAUGCCGCGUGUGUGAAGAAGGUCUUCGGAUUGUAAAGCACUUUAAGUUGGGAGGAAGGGCAGUAAGUUAAUACCUUGCUGUUUUGACGGUACCAACAGAAUAAGCACCGGCUAACUUCGUG